RNAcentral lists this long non-coding RNA (213 nucleotides) under Elaeis guineensis (African oil palm). RNAcentral's name for it is "long non-coding RNA (EGUI_LNC000866)". The record is from RNAcentral. Lineage: Eukaryota; Viridiplantae; Streptophyta; Magnoliopsida; Arecales; Arecaceae.
GGGCUUACUCUAGCAAAAUCAAGUUGGUCGAGUUUGAGUUGCUUCACCUGUUGAGGUCUUCUCACCUUCUUUUGUGCAUGCAGGUCUGUGCAUGAACUAGGAGGCCUGCCUCUGAAUCCAAAGCAUAGCACAAGAUUUCAUUGGCUAGACGUAGCAGAGUAACAUAACCUAACUAAAGUUGGCAGUACAUGGGCUGCCUCCCAAAGGAGAAAG